Molecule: ribosomal RNA, 279 nt
Filed under: Dialister invisus DSM 15470
Lineage: Bacteria; Bacillati; Bacillota; Negativicutes; Veillonellales; Veillonellaceae
Description: partial 16S ribosomal RNA
Rfam family: Bacterial small subunit ribosomal RNA
Source: RNAcentral
UAUGGUAAUUGCCAGCCGCCGCGGUAAUACGUAGGUGGCAAGCGUUGUCCGGAAUUAUUGGGCGUAAAGCGCGCGCAGGCGGCUUCCCAAGUCCCUCUUAAAAGUGCGGGGCUUAACCCCGUGAUGGGAAGGAAACUGGGAAGCUGGAGUAUCGGAGAGGAAAGUGGAAUUCCUAGUGUAGCGGUGAAAUGCGUAGAGAUUAGGAAGAACACCGGUGGCGAAGGCGACUUUCUGGACGAAAACUGACGCUGAGGCGCGAAAGCGUGGGGAGCAAACAGG